GACGAACGCUGGCGGCGUGCUUAACACAUGCAAGUCGAACGGAAAGGCCCUGCUUUUGUGGGGUGCUCGAGUGGCGAACGGGUGAGUAACACGUGAGUAACCUGCCCUUGACUUUGGGAUAACUUCAGGAAACUGGGGCUAAUACCGGAUAGGAGCUCCUGCUGCAUGGUGGGGGUUGGAAAGUUUCGGCGGUUGGGGAUGGACUCGCGGCUUAUCAGCUUGUUGGUGGGGUAGUGGCUUACCAAGGCUUUGACGGGUAGCCGGCCUGGGAGGGUGACCGGCCACAUGGGAAAGGAGAAAGGGCCGAGCGUCGUCCGGGGGGGAGCGGUGGGGAAGUUGGCCAAGGGGGCGGAGGCCUGAUGCGGCAACCCGCGGUGCGGGAUGGCGGCCUUCGGGUUGGAAACCGAUUUCGCCUGGGACGAAGCGUGAGUGACGGAAAUGGGAAAAGAAGCACCGGUUAAUUAGGG
Molecule: ribosomal RNA, 467 nt
Filed under: uncultured bacterium
Lineage: Bacteria
Description: partial 16S ribosomal RNA
Rfam family: Bacterial small subunit ribosomal RNA
Source: RNAcentral